RNAcentral lists this long non-coding RNA (501 nucleotides) under Marmota monax (woodchuck). Lineage: Eukaryota; Metazoa; Chordata; Mammalia; Rodentia; Sciuridae. The record is from RNAcentral.
UUUAAUCCCAGCCUUGGAUGCAAAUGGAACUCACUGGGACCUCACACUUAGUAUCUAUGUAAAAAGGAAAGAAAUAUGACUGACAUUCCCAAGGACUCAUUUCUUAGUGUUUACAACAUAGUAUAGGAGACCUUUUCCUAUAUAAUAUCCCCAAACUAUGAAUAAAUGCAAUUAACAUUCACAAUUUUAGGACUUACACAGAUACAUCUAUUAACUAUUUUUCCUUUGAAAUGCAACAGUGUGGGUACCUACUUAUAGAGAUUUUUUUCCCCUGAUUAAAUUGGCAAAAUUAGCCACAGAAAUAUAAACCUUUUGUUUUUGUUUGGUUUUUGUUUUUGUUUUCGUUUUGUUACGAGAUUGGACCCAGGAGCACUUAACCACUGAGCCAUGUCCCCAAUCCCUUUUAUUUUUGAGUCAAGGUUUUCCUAAGUUUCUUAGGGCCUUGCUAAAUUUCUGAGCUGGCCUUAAAUUUGUGAUCCUCCUGCCUCAGCCUCCUGAGUU